Hippocampus comes (tiger tail seahorse) is the source of this 1874-nucleotide long non-coding RNA. RefSeq lists it as uncharacterized. The transcript has 2 exons. The record is from RefSeq and is a predicted model, not a curated record. NCBI's taxonomy places the organism in Eukaryota, Metazoa, Chordata, Actinopteri, Syngnathiformes, Syngnathidae.
GGGACAGUGGAAACCUGUACAGAGCAAGAUGAAGAGGACCCAGAUGUGGUCUCCAAGUGAAAGGUACACAACCUAACACAUCCUUCCGGAAAGACACCAUGUGACCGUUUUAGUACGCACAGCAUGCCAUGGACUUUUGGACUCGGUUAUCUGUAAGCCAUUCUUUUCAUUUCAAUUGUGCAAGGUCAUAAUGUACCUCGCAACACAUUCUUCUGGAAACACACUGCAUGUGACUGACUGGGUUUAGUGUUUAAUCAAGUCAUAAUUUGAAGCCCAUAUAUGUGGAUUUGGAGCAGCUUCUGGGCCAGAUUAACCGGGCAAGCGUCCACUCGCCGGAGUUUGACAAAAUCCAAAUCGGGAAAUGGCCUCCCCUGCAUCAUAUGUGCACCAUGUGUCCCGCGAGCAAGGCCAGAAAAAGAGGAACAGCACGUGGACGCGACAGAAGACCUGCUGCUCAUUAAUGAUUACACUUCCUCGUCGGGGAAAUCACCACGGGGAGUCGUAUCAGGAGAAGUCAUAAUAAGGAAAUGACAUGCAUGCACCGUAAAAGCUUUGUUUCAAUUACAGUAUAUGCUAUUGGGGGAGGUGAGACACUGUUUUGAGUAAGUUCUGUUUUGUCUCCUUUAGGACACACCCCACCAGGAAGUGUAUGUAUGUGCGCGAGCGUGUGUGUGUGUGUGUGUGUGUGUGUGUGUGUGUGCGUGCGUGCAAAUGUGUAACUAGCAGGCAGCUCUUAUCUGCUGACCUACAUUAUGCACUCUUCCCUCUCGCGGUCGCUGCGAAAAACAGGCCGGUUUUGCAAGACGGUUAAAGCGGGAGGAGGGGAGGGGGGGGGGGAGAAGACUCUUAAACAAAACAGCCACCUGUGGCUGCAAUCAAACGGCGACGGCUGUUAUACUGUAAGUGCCAUAUGUCCCGCUGGGAAAAUACAAGCAAAGCAAAGUAAGGCCUUGUUAAAAUAUGCAGACGGUAAGCUAGCAUUAACGUUGAUAGGACACGCACGGUAAAGUUAGGCCACAUUGGAGGUGACGUGUUCUUCAGAAGAGAACAAUGGAUAGAGCCAGAGCAGACUGUGGACAGUCUGCAGAGAAAAAUACAAGCAGGGAUUGCCCUCCUCCUCCCUUCCGGAAGCCUACGUCAAGGGGAGACUAUUGCCUUCAAAGUAAGAGCACAAGCGCGCGACCCUACGCGUUUAAGUCACUCUGUAAUUUAACAUUUAACUUUUUAUUUUACACUUAAAUAUGUAUUAGAAUUAAUAUGCUUCAACGGUACUGAUUUACAAUUGUGUACUUGGUUGCAUAAACCACACAUGUUUUGUAUUUUGAAGAUCGUAAACCUUUUUCCUCGUUUCCGACCCGUGCUUGACUCCCAAGUCGGGCGCCUGCGUCAGGUGGCUCGUGACGUCAGAUUCAGAUCCAGUGAGCCCUGCGGCCUGUUGUUGGUUCAGGACUUGUUGCCAUCGUCAAUCGCAGGCUUCAUAUAAACAAACAACCAUUCUCGCUCACACCUACAGACAACACAUUCAUAUUUACUUGCAAAUCCGUUGCACCACAUCAUAUGCGUUGAAGUAAUUCUCUAGACUUAAACCCGGUAGAAUAUGCAUUCAUAUUCACCCAUAUGGGAAAUGCAGAGUCUGAAAUGAACCCAACAUGCAUAUUUUUGGAAUGUGGGAGGAAGUCAGGGAGGACAUGAAAACUCCACACUGAAAGGCCUGAGUCAAGAUUUGAACCAAGACUCUUGUGAGUGUGAGACAGGCAUGCUAUUUCUGUGUUGAGCCAUGGACCGUGGUGUGUCCAUUUGUGUGUUUUUGUGGAAAUAUUGCUGGCGCUUGAGGACCUCAGAAUUUUUCUUUGAGAACUUUAAAGUGAUUGGGG